UACGUAGGGCGCAAGCGUUGUCCGGAAUUAUUGGGCGUAAAGAGCUCGUAGGUGGUCUGUUGCGUCCGCUGUGAAAACCCAAGGCUUAACCCUGGGCUGGCAGUGGAUACGGGCAGACUAGAGGUAGGUAGGGGAGAAUGGAAUUCCCGGUGUAGCGGUGAAAUGCGCAGAUAUCGGGAGGAACACCGGUGGCGAAGGCGGUUCUCUGGGCCGUGCCUGACACUGAGGAGCGAAAGCGUGGGGAGCGAACAGG
Molecule: ribosomal RNA, 253 nt
Filed under: uncultured bacterium
Lineage: Bacteria
Description: partial 16S ribosomal RNA
Rfam family: Bacterial small subunit ribosomal RNA
Source: RNAcentral